Molecule: long non-coding RNA, 1119 nt
Filed under: Androctonus crassicauda
Lineage: Eukaryota; Metazoa; Arthropoda; Arachnida; Scorpiones; Buthidae
Source: RNAcentral
AUGGGACAUUUUCAAGCAUAAAUUCAUAAAAUGCCAGGCGUGUCAGCUCGAGAUAUAAGGAUGGGUACAGGUUGUCAAAGUUGUAUGUUGCAAAUGUAUCACCUUGGUUCCAUAUCACAUUAUGUAUUCUUCCCAAGACAUUUGUAGUUACUGUGGCGAAUUUAUCCAUCUCCUCUAAUAUUGCCAUGCACCAUUUGGCUAUUGUUUUUUCCAGCUUAUGUGGGUGCUGUUCUUUUCUCAACUAUCAGCCUCACUGUUAAUGGACUCUUGUGGAUCUUUAUGUAUUCAAAAAGUCUUUGGCACACUAGUGCUGUUACUCUGUCGUGCUCCCAUGCUUGUAGAAACAACUUAUGUCUCAUAAUUUUAUCUACUACUUUAACUAUUUUUAAUAUAGGGUCCACAGCUACUAGCUUUGAUUGGGUUUGAUCUAUAUAAAUAUCUAGGAAAGAAUCAUAAAAAUUUUUUCCAUUAGGAUCCUCUUGUCUUCCCUUGUUAUCAUAAGAUUGCUAUUGUUGAGCCAGGCUAUGAUUUUUCUAAGGGAAUAUGUGUCAUUUUCUUUAAGUUUCUCCCUUUUAUUAUGUUUUUUUGGUCAGUCUUUGGUUUAUGUAUGACUAUUUUGUUCUUUGUCUUUCUAGCUCAUCCAUAUUAUGCAACAUAUCUUCCACCACUGGUAUGUCAUCAAUUAUAUUACUUUUUAGCAGACAAGCACACGAGGGGCCUUUCCUAAAAAUCUGUUCUGCAUAUGGUAAUAAGUUGACAUCUCCCACUACAGUUAUUGCCUGGUUAAGCAAUAACUGUAGUGGGACUUGCACUCUUUUUUACCUAAUGGGAGUUGACAUUUAAAAAUCCAUUUGAUCUUAAUGUAUUUAUUUCUUUCUUAAUUUAUUUUUAAGGGUUCCUGUCUCAUUCUCAGUUUUGUCUAAAAAAUACCAGUCACAUCAAAGAAAAUCCUAAGAAACAUGAAGAAAAUGUCUAAAGGUAGUCAUCAUGGAUGCUAAAAAGAAAUAUUUUAGAACAUUGCAUGAAGUAAAGGGUUAUAAAAGCAAACUAGUACACCUUGCAAAUAUUACAAUAUUUUUAGAACACCUUGCAUAUGUUACCCUGUUUGUAGUAUAUUAU